Aegilops tauschii subsp. strangulata is the source of this 819-nucleotide long non-coding RNA. RefSeq lists it as uncharacterized. The record is from RefSeq and is a predicted model, not a curated record. NCBI's taxonomy places the organism in Eukaryota, Viridiplantae, Streptophyta, Magnoliopsida, Poales, Poaceae.
UGUCGAAGGUGAAGCUGCAUGGGUGAUGUAGCCGGUUGGCUGUAGUGCGGAGUUAUAAUAUAUGUUGUAUAUUACUUUUCUUCUUCUAGGAUUACUGGUCUAUUUUGACAAAUGAAAUUAGUUAUCAUAAAUCUAUUUUGAUCAAUGAAAUGAAUAUAUGUUUGUGUACAGCUUGUUCCCACGCACGACUUGUAGUUGUAAACUUAUGCAUUUGGGGCUAUUAAAGGGAGGCAAUUGACGUGCAUGUCAAGAGGAGUUAUUCUGCGGCAACCCACAGAGUCAUGUUUGAUCAUUAAAAGAAAUGGCCACGGAUCCCCACGGACGCCGCCACUGCCGCGGAUCCCCACGGAUGAUGCAGACGCCGCCGAACAGAGCAGGAUGUGGUCGCGUUGCACUGAUUGGAGGAGACCGUGCCGGCCGUGCGCUGUUUGGAGGACGAACACAGGUUCACCGCCAUGGCUAUGAGAGGACGCAUUUGUGUUCAGUUGUUCGGGCAGAGGAGGCACUUUGUUGAAGCAUCAAGUGAAUUGAAAUGUGCAAAUGCUCUUGGUGCCCAUUAGUUCUUUGUGUGAGUAAGAAAUCGUUUUCUUCUCCAUAGCUGAGAAACCAGUAAAGAAAUUAUGUGUCAGGAGCAAGAAUCUUUUUCGAUGAAAGCCGCUACCUUUCAUAUAUAAAUUGUGUUCCUUUUCAAGAAAGAAAUCCAUAGCCUUGAAUCAAUAGAUAUACAUAAGUUUUAUGUUGAUGUUAUCUACAAUAAGAGUACUUGAAAUUGAUAGAGUUGCCAUUAGAUUUUCCAAGAAGAGGCAGACAUUAUAUCAC